Molecule: long non-coding RNA, 1408 nt
Filed under: Oryza sativa (Asian cultivated rice)
Lineage: Eukaryota; Viridiplantae; Streptophyta; Magnoliopsida; Poales; Poaceae
Description: long non-coding RNA (OSAT_LNC001126)
Source: RNAcentral
AUAAAAUCCUCGUCCAGGAAUCAGCCGAGGUACACAAACUGACAAUUUUAAUAUACAAACCCAUCAUAAUAAUAACGUUACAUACUUACAAAAGAAAAGAAAACAGCAGCAGAAUUAACGGUCUAGCGAUGGCUUCAGCUCCACUCCCACAGGCAGCUCAACUGGGGUAUAAGCCAAACGUCUUCUCCUUCUGGAUCCUUUAUCUUCAACUGAGGUUGAUUGAUUAUUGCAAGAAUGAGCAUAUGACAUACUCAACAAGCCACACAGCAAAUAUGCAAGUGCACAAGGAUUCCAAAGGAUGGCAUAAUAUAGGCUCAUUUGCAAAAGCAGCAUUUAGCAAAGAUUUAAGAUAAGUAAAACAGUAGAGUAAUUAAUCAUCAAUUUUAAUCAACACUGAACAGCACACCCAUGCUGCUCAGGCCCAACCAUCCUGAACAACCAUACCCGGCUGUACAGAUCUAACUCCAAACCAGGAGCUAAGCAAAUUAUUACCAGUUAUAGCAUCCAUAAUUAUUGUGAGAGGCGUGAGACUAAUCACGAAAAACAUUGCUCAACUCGCCCAUAACCGCGGGCACGGCUAUUCGAAUAGUUUUACUCUGGCCAGAGGUGUACCACUGUACCCACAAGACACGAUUCCACACAUGUUGCCAUGCCCCGAAAUACCACCACGGCAUUGCAAAGGGGGAAAUCGUGACAAUACCCUUCGCACAACACAACUCACCACAGUGCACCAUUCCUGGAUCAUAAUCACCCCCUCUAUAAAUAUAACCAGAGGCAUGGACUCCCCAGCGACCCCCACGGACUUCUCGCCGCUUCUCAGUCUAGUGCCCCGUAAUGAAUCAUGCUAUACAAAAGGUAAAGCCGUUGCCCAUGCUGGCUUGUGGUUGGCACGGUAAAUGUUUCACAACAGUAGCUCGCGAACCGGUCCUUAAUUGCCAUGAGCACGACCUUCAAAACCAUGUGCUCACAACCCACCAUUGACAAGUUUUAAUUAUCAAUUAAUUAUAAUAACACGAUUAACCAUCGUGAGCUACCAUUAAAUAUAACCAUAAUAAUAAUAUAAUAUAAUAUAGUUUAUAAUUAACCCCUUUAGUUAGCUAAUGUUUCUAAGCAUAGCUAAGCAAACUUACAUAUAGCAUUUAGCUGAACCAAUCCUACAUAUAAGGUUCAUGCUAAUCAAAUUAUAACCCAUAGGAAAAUAAGAUCAUCUUCGGCCAUUAAUUAACGGGGAAAGGUUCACCACCCGAUGACAUUCAAAAAUGAUGCAUAGUUGAAAUAAAAUAAUAGCUUUAAAUGGGUUCAACAUGCUCAAAGGGUUAUUUGGGAUCUGUGUGACUUGCCUUGAGCUUCCGCAAACACUUCCGAACCUUGCUCAACGAAAACGCUCUCCUCCGGAACGUCGGAAACU